GACGAACGCUGGCGGCGUGCUUAACACAUGCAAGUCGAACGGAAAGGCCUCUUUCGGGGGGUACUCGAGUGGCGAACGGGUGAGUAACACGUGAGUAACCUGCCCUUGACUUUGGGAUAACUUCAGGAAACUGGGGCUAAUACCGGAUAGGAGCUCCUGCUGCAUGGUGGGGGUUGGAAAGUUUCGGCGGUUGGGGAUGGACUCGCGGCUUAUCAGCUUGUUGGUGGGGUAGUGGCUUACCAAGGCUUUGACGGGUAGCCGGCCUGAGAGGGUGACCGGCCACAUUGGGACUGAGAUACGGCCCAGACUCCUACGGGAGGCAGCAGUGUGGAAUAUUGCACAAUGGGUGGAAGCCUGAUGCAGCAACGCCGUGUGCGGGAUGACGGCCUUCGGGUUGUAAACCGCUUUCGCUCAUGACGAAGCUUUGUGUGACGGUAGUGGGUAAAGAAGCGCCGGCUAACUACGUG
This 467-nucleotide ribosomal RNA is filed under the name uncultured bacterium. RNAcentral's name for it is "partial 16S ribosomal RNA". It matches the Rfam family "Bacterial small subunit ribosomal RNA", at positions 28 to 507 of the family's 1533-position model. The record is from RNAcentral.